UUGAUAAGUAGUAAAAAGUUCAUUUUCAUGUAAAUGGGUUGUUUACAAAACAGUGCAAAGUACACGAGUGAUGUAUUUGUAUACGAGUAUAGGGUGUUUGAGGAGAUUUGAUGAGGUUGGAGUGGGUAUUUGGAGGGUGUUAGGAGGUGGAAUAAGGUUGUAAUUUUGGUGGUGUAAGGCAACAAAGAUGGUGAAGUUGAAGGAGCUUUGGGUGGUGAUGGAUGUAGAUUUUCGGAGUAAAUCUCUCUGGAUAGCCAAUUCUCUCUCGCGUCUCUUUGGGGUUUCCCGUGGUCAAAAUCGUCCACGAAAAUUUCUAGAUGUAGGUAAUUUCCUGAAAAAUUGAUGGUGGAAAUCUCCCUAGUCUUUUUGUGCUUGUAACAAGCCCAGUUUUCUUCGUUUUUGACUUGAAGAUUCUGAUGUCGAAAAACAGCAAGGUGGUGAUGGUUGUGGUGAUUUGAAAGGGUUUUUUUGGAGGAGGUUUAAGGAGGGUAUUUGGAGGGUGUUUGGAGAUUAUUUUGAGGUUGGAAGGAGGUUAAUAUAAGAGAGGUUUUUGGUGGUAAAUGGUGUGAUGAACAAAGAUAAUGAAGAUGAAAAACCUUUAGUUUCAAUGAAGAAGAUGAAGAUGGUUGAUGGUGUUCUUCAUUUCAUUGUUGAUGAUCUUGGUGUUCUUCACUUAGCUUCUUGUUUGAUCUUGGUGUUCUUCAUUUAGCUCCAGGGAUUUGUCUUUGUUCUUGAAGAAGAUGAAGAUUGGUGAUGUUCUUGGGAGUGUUUGUAGUUUGUAGGAAGUGUUACAAUAUUACAAAUGAACACACACACUUACAUACACAAACUCAUGUAUACAUAUAUGCAUGAAACAAAUAUCUUCUAGUGCACUUGAGUAUAUGGAGAGUUGGCUGCAAGUUGAUGUAGAGUAGGAGGCAAAAACGUGGGGUAUUCAUUUGCAACUUCAUUUCCUUGACUUAUUGACACUUCUUUGUUGACUUUUCCAAUUGUUUGACUUUUCCAUACACAACAUAUAUAUAAUACAUAUAUACAUAUAUAAUACAUAAAUAUACAUAUAAUACAUAUAUAUACGUGUGUAUAUAUAUAUAUAUAUAUAUAUAUAUAUAUAUAUUGUUGAAACUGUUUAGUCACACAACUAAUUUUCUCGUCUAUGCGUUUUCGGUCAUUCGCGUGUUUUCGUAUUUUCCGUUUGAUCACGCAUUCAUGCAACCUGAAAUAACUGAUAAUAUUUGUUAGAUUGUAUAAAAUCAGUGCAUUUUGUUUCAGUGAUGGUCACAUAUAAAAACGUUUUCAACAAUUUCCCCCUAUGUGAUCAUUGCUGAAAUAAAGACAGAUAUGAUAUAAUCAUGUUGACAGUUUUGAACUUUUGAAGAUUCGAGAUAAAAGAUUUGUCAAUAGAUAAGAUAUAUAAAACAUAGUGAUUAUUUUGAAAGUUUGUGACUUUGUUUAACAUAUCUUAUGUAAAAGAUUUUUAGAAAUUUGUUUCCGAAUCAAAGUCUCGGGUUCGGUUAUCAAAGGGUAGCCAUAUAUGUAUCUAAAGAAAUUUCCUAAGAUUUUAUAGCAUUAUUAAUGACGACAAGUGGUCUAACAGGUCGAUUCAGAUGAACGCUCAUAGGUAUAGCUCACACUUCACUUGAGUGUCUGGUUUUCCUGGCAGCAGAACAGGUUAAUGAUCACUAAAAAUGAGUGAUAUCUCUCUCUGGCGACUCACACUCAUAUUAGAGGUGUUCAGCUAUGCUUUUCCUGAAAUUCACUUAGUCUCAUUAUUAGAUAAUCAAUCACAUAAGACUGGUUUCGACAUUACUCAGUGGGUUUCUUCAUUCAUGCCAUUAACUUUCACUCUCUCUCCAUCGGGAAAUACAUGUAGAGGGGUUUAGCAAUUUUCAUAGUGCAGUUUGCAACUAAGAACUUUCAGUGUGAAGGCUACNAUCCCGGGAAAUCCAUUGUUGCAGCUUCUUCCUUGAUGGUAUCCUUUUUGUUGAUCAAUAUCGAUUUUUGUAAAAAGAUAUUUUGUUUUAGCAUCGAGAAUUUGCUACAUUUUGAAAAAAAAAUGGAUUUUUGAGAGUAUCUAUGUUGCGGGAUUAAGAUAUCCCUUUUUGUGAAAAUUGGUUAAAAACAGAUCAAUGGAUCUUUUGAUGAUUGCAUUGAAAUAACCAUUUGGUUGAAACUUUGUUUGAAAAUACCAAAUGUAGAGUUUUUUUGUUUUGUUGGGUAUUUCUUCGGUGAAUGAUUUGGCUUUCUUGUUGAUUCGUCUUUAUCUUAUUUCGCCUUUGAUGAUUAGAUUUGGAUAGAUCUUUGGUUUUAUUUGAUAAGUGAUUGUUGAAAUCCUUUUCGUUUCGUCUUUUCUUGUUGAUGGAUCACGGGAUCUCAAUAGUUCAUUUUUGGUUGGCUUAUAUCUAGGUGGGGAUUGGUGGCAUAAAAGACAUUUUGUCUAUUAUGUAAGAAAUGAAUGUAUCGUCCCUGGUCACUUUGAUAUCUAAGAAAAAAUGAGACCGUGACAAGAUAUAAUCGGAUAUACCUUAUAAGCAAUAGUGACACACCUAAGCUCACAAGAAAUGAAUUCCACAGUGAUAUAGAUUGACGAGGCACAAAUUCUCACAUGGGUUUUUGUUUUCAUCUGAACCUCCUAACCUUAUGUCCCUUCAUUGUUUAAAAUCAUCAAUAAUGAAAUAAAAUAGAAGGAAAUAAAGUUAUAUACAUUAUGAAAAGUAGGAGAUUUGAACCUUCACUCCAAUUGAGAAUCAAUAUGACUUAAAAUCUUCAUCGAGCAUAAGCAUUUGAAAAUUAAGUCAAAAGACGAUUAAUCACAAGGUUCUAUAAAAGCUUAUCAUGGCAAGUAUUUUAUUCUAUUUUUGAAGAUUAUUUUUUUUGAAUGUUUUUGNUUUGAAGAUUUGUUUUUCUGAAUGUUUUUGGAAAUAUUGGUUAUCUGAAUUUUUUUGGUAUUUUUGAAAAAGAAAGCAAUUUUCAAAUGUUUUUGAAUUUUCUUUUUGAAUGAAAGUAAACACACUUUUGUACAAACAAAAGUUAAAAGUUUAAGGAUGGAUGUUAUCUGGAUUUAACAUUCCUAGACGGCCUAGGAAGUAUUGAAACUUUGUUUCAUCGAGAGCCUUAGUGAAGACAUCGGCAAUUUGAUCUUCGGAGUUGAUGAAGUGUAGUUCGAUAUGACCCUUUUGAAUGUUGUCUUUGAUAAAGUGAUAUCGAAUGUCGAUGUGCUUUGUCAUGGAAUGGUGAACGGGAUUGUGAGAAAUGGCAAUUGCACUGGUUGAGUCACAAAAUAUGGGAAUUUGUGAGAUUUUGAAGCCAUAGUCAUGCAGUUGAGUUUGCAUCCAUAUGACUUGUGAGCAACAGCUGGCGGCAGCGACAUAUUCAGCUUCUGCUGUUGAUGUGGAUACACAAGUCUGUUUCUUUGAAGUCCAACUCACUAGUCUACCUCCUAAGAAUUGACAGCUACCAGAUGUACUCUUUCUAUCUAGCUUGCAUCCUCCGUAGUCUGAGUCGGUGAAAGCGUUUAGCUGAAAAUCGGAUUUAGCUGGAUACCAAAGGCCGAGUUUGGGAGUGCCUUUAAGGUAUUUGAAGAUACGUUUCACAGCAACUACAUGGGAUUCCAUAGGAUUUGCUUGGUAUCUAGCACACACACAUGUAGAAAACAUGAUGUCAGGUCUGCUGGCAAUGAGGUAUAAGAGUGAUCCAAUCAUUCCACGAUAUCUUUUCUGGUCAACGGGUUUCCCAUUUAAGUCUGCAUCGAUUUUGUAUCCAAAAGCCAUUGGAGUUUUUGCGGUAUUUGAUUUGUCCAUUGAAAAGCGAGUGAGUAGGUUUUUGACAUAAUUCUCUUGGUUGAUGAAAAUGCCAUCAGUUGACUGUUUGAUUUGAAGUCCGAGAAAUGUAGUCAUCUCCCCAAUCAUGCUCAUUUCAAAUUUGCUCUUCAUUAGAUCUGCAAACUUAACACUUAAAGAUUCAUCAGUAGAACCGAAAAUAAUGUCAUCAACAUAUAUUUGUACGAUUAACAGAUGUUUAUUAAAUAUUUUACGAAAGAGGGUUUGAUCGAUUGAACCUCUUUUAAAACCUGAUUCUUCGAGAAAGGUUGACAACGUGGCAUACCAGGCUCGAGGUGCUUGUUUCAAGCCAUAGACAGCUUUCUGUAAUUUAAAGCUGUGAUCUGGAAAUUUGGGAUCUUCAAAACCUGGUGGUUGUUGGAUGUAUACUUCGCGAUCUAUCUCUCCGUGUAGGAAUGCACAUUUAACGUCCAUUUGGAAUACUUUGAAGUUCUUAUGCGCAGCAUAUGCAAGAAAGAUACGAAUUGCUUCAAUUCGAGCAACUGGGGCAUACGUUUCAUCGUAGUCGAUUUCUUCUUGUUGUGAAUAUCCUUUGACUACAAGACGUGCCUUGUUUCGACAAAUGAUUCCUUGAUCGUCAGUCUUGUUUCUGUAUACCCAUCUUGAACCUAUAACAGUAACAUCGGGUGGAGUAGGAACAAGAUUCCAUACGUCGUUUCUUUCAAAUUCUGCUAGCUCUUCUUGCAUAGCUUUUACCCAAUCUGGAUCUUUUAUAGCAGAAUGUAUGGUUUUGGGUUCGGUCGUGGAUAAGAAGGCUCCAAAUAAACAUUCAUUUGUGGAUGCGCCUCUAGUCUGAAUGCCUAUGUUGGGAUCUCCGAUGAUUUGGUCUGUUGGAUGAUUUCUGGUCCACUUUAUUAAGCGAUUCUCUUCCGCUAUAAUAAUUGGAGUUUCAGUAUCCCAUUGUUCUUCUCCGGGCGUUUCAUCUUGGAAUAGGUUUGAAGGUUCCCCCAUAAAUGAUGCAUCGGGAUUGUUUUGGCUAUUUGGGGUUCGGGUGUUUAAAGGAGGAUUUGGUGUUUGUUCCAAAGAGGAAGUAUGUGUUGGUGGUUCCCCCUCGAAUUGAUUUGCAUCAUUUUGGUUUGUUUGUGGAAUUACUUCACUGGGUGUUCCUGUAGGGUCAAUUAAAGUAGUUAGAAGUUCAGAAUUGUAAGCGGUUUUUGGUUGUUCAAAAAGCAAAUCAAGAUCGAUUUCAAUGUCUAUGUCAGGAGAAGGUGUUUGUUGAAUUGGAUUUUGAAAAAUAUUUUCAAUCAUUUUUGAACCAAAAUGUUCACGAUCCAAUUUCCUGACAUAAAAUUCAUCGAAAUGAACAUCGGUACUUUCUUCAAUUACUCUGGUACGUUUGUUCAGUACUCUAUAAGCAGCUGAAGAAAAUGAGUAACCAAGGAAAAUUCCUUCGUCCGACCUUGAUUCAAAUUUUGAAAGGUGAUCUUUAUUGUUCUUUACGAAGCAUCGACAACCAAAAAUAUGGAAAAAUUUGAUGUUUGGUUUUCGGUUGUUAAUGACUUCAUAUGGUGUUUUAUGAAGAUGUUUAUGGAUUAAGGAACGAUUUUGAGUAUAGCAAGCUGUGGCUAUUGCUUCUGCCCAGAAGUAUUGUGGCAGAUCAGCGAAGAUAAGCAUUGAUCUUGCAGCUUCACAUAGAGUUCGGUUCCUUCUUUCGACAACACCGUUCUGUUGUGGAGUGUAUGGGGCUGAGAAGUUAUGUUCAAUUCCUUUGUCUUUGAGAAAUGAAUCUAGAGUAUUGUUUUUGAACUCUAAACCAUUAUCACUUAGGAUUCUUCGAACAGGUCGUUUCAGCUUCAACUCGAUUUGUUUGAUGAAGUUGAUCAUCUCUUCAGGUGCUUCUGAUUUUAGUCUUAAGAAAAAGACCCAAGUAAAGCGCGAGAAACCAUCAACGACAACAAGAAUGUACUUCUUCCCUUGUAUGGUUUGGGUUUUGGCAGGGCCACAAAGGUCUAUGUGCAACAAUUCUAGUGGUUCGGAUACACUAGAUUCUGAGAUGCUUUUGUGAGUGGAUUUGGAAAGUUUUCCUUUUUCACAUGCGGCACAAAGAGUUUCGUUAUCAAGCUUCAGAAGUGGUAGCCCUCGAACAAGAUCAUCGCCGAUUAAUUUGUUGAUGUACCCAAAGUUUAGAUGGGAAAGGCGACGGUGCCAUAACCAACUAAUAUCUGCCGGGGCUUUAGAUAGCAGACAUAUAUGGGGUUUACUGUAGAUAAGAUCCAUGUCAAGUGGAUACAUAUUUCCGGCACGGUCAAAAUCAACUAUAACAUCUUUUGUUUUGGCGUCCAUGAUCAAGCUUCGUUGUUUGGUGAAAAGAAUUUCAAGAUUGUUAUCACAAGGUUGAGAAACACUGAUAAGGUUGUGUUUCAGGUCAUCGACGAAGGCAACUUUCUUUAUGGUAAAAUUACCAUUUGUUAUGUUUCCAUAACUUUUGAUUUUUGCUUUCAUGUUGUUUCCGAAGGUAACAUCUUGAUUGGUUUGUAUAGGUUUGAAGUCACGUAAGUAGUUCCGGUUUCCUGUCAUAUGCUUGGAGCAGCCACUAUCAAUAUACCAUGUAUCAUCAUUGGGUUCUCCAGCAUUAAGUACCUACAAUCAGACAGAAAGUUUAGGUACCCAAAUCUGAAUGGGUCCUGGUUUGUCAGUUGUUAUUUUGGGUGCUUUGCUUGAUGAAUUUCUUUUAUCAUUUGACUUCACAUUAUUGUAAUGGUUUGGUUUAUGACAAUGGAAUGGUUGAGGUUUGAUUUGAUCUAUUAAGUUUACCCAAAAUGUGAUUUGUUUUUGAAAGCCUGUGGGUUGAUAAGAUCUGUGAUUUGGUGAAAGAUAUCCUAGAUGUGAAGGUUUGUUUGAAAAGUUUUUUCUACAUAUCUGGGAUGUGAUGGGCAUUUUUGAAAAGCUUUUUGAUGAUGAUGGUUUGAAACGUUCUGAUGUGAUGGUUUUUGAAAGUUCCAUGAAUGAUUAAAAGUGAUAUCUUGAAAGCGGUUUUCAAAAGGUUUUGGAAAAGGUUUUGGUUUUUGUUUGGAAACCUGUUUAUGAGGUAUGACGUUUGGUUUCUUUGGUUGUUUUUCAAAAAGGUUUGGUUUGAUUAGUGGGGUUUUGGUGACUUGAAUGGAUUUUUUGCUUGUUUGUUGUUUCUUGGAGUAUUUUUGUCCCAGACUAGUUUUUCCAACAAUUGAUGAAGUCAUUGUAGGAAAAACAGUUGGUAUAGAAGUACAACCAUCCUUAUAAGAGGAAUUUUAUCCAUUCAAAAAGUUUUUGAGUUUAGUGGUUCCAUCGGUAUGUUUGAUUUGGUGAGUUAAAGAACUUGCAGAGUUUGUUUCAGAAUUUACAACUCUUUUGAAAGACUUUUUGGAAACACUGAAAGCAGUAUCAUCUGGACUACAGUUGAUAACUGUUUCGUCAUCUGAAUCUUCCUCAUUAAGAGAUGUGAAAAGAUCUGGUAGAGUAGAUUCAGAGUUUUCACAAUUCGUCAUGUUUUCCUGUUUUGCUUGUUCAAUUUCAAAGGAUUCUCUUCCAAUUCCUGGUCUAUAAUUCGUAUCAAUUUUGCCAGUUCCUAAGGUGUUUGCCUUUGUGAAAAUAUCAUCACUUAGUUUUCUAGCAACUUUGAUAGAAUCCAUAUUCCAUAUCAGUCUUUUAUUCUCGGUUUCAAGAGAAUUGAUUUGUUUUAAAGAAUCAGUCAGCUUUUCAUUUAAAACAUUGUAUUUGUCAGUUGAUUCUUGAAAGUCUUGUUUCAACUGAAGGAUUUCCAUUUCUAAAACAUCUUUUAUUUCAGAAGAAAUGACUGACUGAUUUUUUAGUUCCAAAUCCCUUUUCUGAAUUAGGGACUGAUUUAAUUGUUCCAAGACGUGAUUAUAAUCUUCUGAUUUUCUUUCAACGUCUCUUUCCAAUUUGCUUUUCGUUCUUGUUGAUUCUCCAAAUUUGAGUUGCAAGGUUUGUAACUCAGAUUUGCAAAUAUCAUAAUUGACCAUUGUGUCAUGAUAUGUUUUGAGAUCAGUUUCCAGACUAGUCUCAAUUUUGGUUAUGUGGGACUCAAAAAUUGUUUUGGAAAAACCAAGUUCAGAGAUCAUAGACCAUACCUGUUCUAUGACGUUUGGAGCUCUUGAAGGUAUUUCAACACCAGCUACGAAGCAGAAGUUUGAUUGUGUUGGUUCGUGUUCAGCUUCGUCAUCAGAAGUUGGCCAGUAUUCCACACUUGGUUCAUGGAUUGCCAUCAAUGCUCUUUGCUUUUCUUGGUUUUCCAGUUUCUUCAAUUCAUCGGCUCUUUGAGCAUAGUAUGCUGAGUCUUUGAUUUUGGUUUUGUUUUUGGCUCGACAUUCUCUGGCAUAGUGAUUUGUUCCUUUGCAGUUGUGACAAAUGAUCACUUCUUCAUCACUUUCAUCCUUUUGACUUUUAAUCGGAAGUCUUUCAGGUGCUUGAGUUUGGGUUUGUUGGGAAGGUUGAGAAUGGUUUUGUUGGAAUCCAAAAUUUUGGUUGUUUUGAAAACCAUUGUUUUGAUUGUUGUAACCUUGAUUUUGGAAACCUCUGUUUUGAUUUUGAAAACUGUUGUUUGGAUUGUGAUUAUGACCUGAGUUGGGAUCGUUUUGAAAUCCCUGGUUUUGAAAACCUUGGUUUGAGUUAUUUUGGAAAGAAGGUCUUUGAGAAUUUUGUCCAAAGUAAGGUCUUGGUUGAAAACCUGAGUUAUUUUGUCCAAAAGACGGUCUUGGUUGAAAACUUGAGUUAUUUUGUCCAAAAGAUGGUCUUGUUUGAAAAUUUGGUCUAAAGUUUGAUUGACCAUGAUUUGGGAUAAAUCUCUGGAGAUUUGUGUUUGCAACCAAAGCACACAGUUGUUGAUAAUCUGCUUCAUCAUUUGAAUCAGACUGGAAGGAUUGGUUUUGAAAAGAUGUAGUCUGAUUAAAAUGAUUAAAGUUUUGAUCAUUGUAAGGUGUUUGGUUUUGAGAAGUUGUGGACACAAGAGCAAGUGGUCCUCCAAAAGCUGCAAUGGUUGGUGGGUCAAUCGAGGAUUCAUACGAUUGAAGUUCUCCAUACAAAUUGUACAAAGAUUCGGUAUGAAUAGCUGGAUUUCCCUGAAUAAUGAGUUUAACCAUUUUCCAGCUUUCGAAAAGAUUGUUUAAAAACUUGAGAUUUAUCUCGUGUUGUGUCUUUUUGAUACCCAAAUUGUUCAUUUUAACCAUAAUCAAAUUGAACCUAUCAUGAGCAUCAUGGAUAGUUUCUGAUGAAAGCAUUUUGAAAUUAUCGAAUUCAUUCAAAACAGAUGUUCUUUUGUUUCCGAUAAUUCUUUUAUUUCCACAAAAACGAUUUUUCAAAUUUUCCCAAAUUUGAUUUGCGGUUAACAUCAUAAUGUCAUCCAUUUGACUUAGAAUACUGUGAGGUAUUCCAGACACAAGUUCCUUUUUGGCUUGGAGUUCCAACUUUCUUAUGAUAUCGGUUUGAGUGGCUUGAUUCGUAGCAAGAGUAGCCAUAUUUUCUGGAGUAACAUAUGUUCCUUCUACACACUUCCAGAUAUCUUCAUUUAUAGCGUUAAGAUGAAGAUUCAUACGGCCAACCCACGAAUUAUACUCAUCAGGAAUAAGUAUGGGUGCCCAUGAACCAGAUCCUAAGCUAUUUGCAAUGGACAUAGAGUUCAUGUUGGAGUAAUUUGCCAAAGACAUUUUUUUUUGAAUUUUUUUUUUUUUAAAGGAUUUCGAACAAGUGAUAUUAAANGAUAUUAAAAUGAAAUUUUUAAAGACAAGCUUAUGGAAGGUUUAUAAACGCUAUAACCAAAAGUUUUUCGACAAAAAUUUCAAGGUAAAUCACACAAGCUCUGAUACCAAUUGUUGGAUAUUAUUCCUUUUAUAUCAGCUCAGAUACCGAUUGUUGGAAAUAUAAAUAUCUAAUUACCACAACAAAAGGCUCGGCUACCAGUUACUGUGUGACAGAUAUAUGAGUUAAAGGUAUAAGAUAUAGAUAUAUAUAAAGAAUAAUAAUUGCGGAAUAAGUAUAAAUAUGAAAGCUAUAAAUGACUGAAAGCUAUAAUAAUAUAAAUGACUGUAUUUAAAUGACGUAAAGCUAUAAAUAAUAUAAAUGACUGUAUUUAAAUAACAUAAAGCUAUAAAUAAUAUAAAUGACUAUAUUUAAAUGACAUAAAGCUAUAAUAAAGUAUAUAAGUAUAUAAAUAUAUAUCAAGUAGGUUCGUCAAUAAAUUGACUGAACUGGACUCAUGGAACGACUGGUCGAUAUUUGUUCUUUGAAUGGACUGGUCGAUAUUGGGACUCUUGGAGCGACUGGUCGAUAUUUGUUCAAUGAUCAAUCCGGUAUUUGAUAAGUAGUAAAAAGUUCAUUUUCAUGUAAAUGGGUUGUUUACAAAACAGUGCAAAGUACACGAGUGAUGUAUUUGUAUACGAGUAUAGGGUGUUUGAGGAGAUUUGAUGAGGUUGGAGUGGGUAUUUGGAGGGUGUUAGGAGGUGGAAUAAGGUUGUAAUUUUGGUGGUGUAAGGCAACAAAGAUGGUGAAGUUGAAGGAGCUUUGGGUGGUGAUGGAUGUAGAUUUUCGGAGUAAAUCUCUCUGGAUAGCCAAUUCUCUCUCGCGUCUCUUUGGGGUUUCCCGUGGUCAAAAUCGUCCACGAAAAUUUCUAUAUGUAGGUAAGGUUCUGAAGAAUUGAUGGUGAAAAUCUCCCUAGUAGUAUUUUGGCUGUGUUGUGCUCGGUUUUUUGUUUUCUAACAUGAAGAUUCUGAACUUGAAAACAGAAAUCUCUCUGGAUAGCCAAUUCUCUCUCGCGUCUCUUUGGGGUUUCCCGUGGUCAAAAUCGUCCACGAAAAUUUCUAGAUGUAGGUAAUGUCCUGAAGAAUUGAUGGUGAAAAUCUCCCUAGUCUUUUUGUGCUUGUAACGAGCCCAGUUUUCUUCGUU
RNAcentral lists this long non-coding RNA (10709 nucleotides) under Lactuca sativa (garden lettuce). RNAcentral's name for it is "long non-coding RNA (LSAT_LNC006554)". The record is from RNAcentral. Lineage: Eukaryota; Viridiplantae; Streptophyta; Magnoliopsida; Asterales; Asteraceae.